Molecule: ribosomal RNA, 399 nt
Filed under: Triticum aestivum (bread wheat)
Lineage: Eukaryota; Viridiplantae; Streptophyta; Magnoliopsida; Poales; Poaceae
Description: partial small subunit ribosomal RNA
Source: RNAcentral
AUGUUGAAAAUGAUCGGCUCCACACGAAGAGAAGCACACCGGUUGGAAAGAAUUGACACGACAACCUCAAUGAUCAAGAAGGAUAAGAAAUCACAUAGAAAUAUGAGAACACCAUUUAGGAAAGGUAUGGAUUCAACACUUGACAUUGAAGCAAUUCGAAUACCACAAAUAAAACAAAAACAAAGGAUUUGGCUUGCAGAAAUAAGCCGGAACAAACAUAUGAUAGAGAUUCCGUCCGAAGUUUUCGUGGUGGGGCCCACACGGGCUCGAGUGUACAACACCAUCAUGUACAAGGCAGUGCACAUGACAUACAAAGUGUCCCUGAACCAGCAUAGCCAAGGGUUCUUUAAGACACAACGAGACCACUGUAAAAACGACCGUGGAAAGGCGGACCACUAG